CGACCCUGGGCGGGAGAGACCCCACGCAGCCGGCGUGGGGCGCCGAAGGGGCAACCUCCCCGGAACCUCUCAGGCAAAAGGACCGCUCGGGCGAG
RNAcentral lists this non-coding RNA (95 nucleotides) under Actinomadura sp. Its description in RNAcentral is "Glycine sequence". It matches the Rfam family "Glycine riboswitch aptamer". Rfam says of the family: This family represents the bacterial glycine riboswitch. Glycine riboswitches usually consist of two metabolite-binding aptamers domains with similar structures in tandem. Lineage: Bacteria; Bacillati; Actinomycetota; Actinomycetes; Streptosporangiales; Thermomonosporaceae. The record is from RNAcentral.